RNAcentral lists this ribosomal RNA (116 nucleotides) under Rickettsiales bacterium. The record is from RNAcentral. Lineage: Bacteria; Pseudomonadati; Pseudomonadota; Alphaproteobacteria; Rickettsiales.
CUUGGUGAAGAUAGCGGUGUGGAACCACUCGAUACAUUCCGAACUCGCAAGUGAAACGCAUGUCGCGCCGAUGGUAUUUGGUCUUUAUGGCCAGUGAGAGUAGGUUGUCGCCAAGC